UACGGAGGGGGCAAGCGUUGUUCGGAAUUACUGGGCGUAAAGGGCGCGUAGGCGGCCUUCUAAGUCGAACGUGAAAUCCCUGGGCUCAACCCAGGAACUGCGUCCGAUACUGGGAGGCUUGAAUCCGGGAGAGGGAUGUGGAAUUCCAGGUGUAGCGGUGAAAUGCGCAGAUAUCGGGAAGAACACCCGUGGCGAAGGCGGCUCUCUGGGACGGUACUGACGCUGAGACGCGAAAGCGUGGGGAGCGAACAGG
This 253-nucleotide ribosomal RNA is filed under the name uncultured bacterium. RNAcentral describes it as "partial 16S ribosomal RNA". It matches the Rfam family "Bacterial small subunit ribosomal RNA", at positions 524 to 776 of the family's 1533-position model. The record is from RNAcentral.